This 422-nucleotide ribosomal RNA is filed under the name bacterium gwi03. RNAcentral's name for it is "bacterial SSU rRNA". It matches the Rfam family "Bacterial small subunit ribosomal RNA", at positions 63 to 498 of the family's 1533-position model. The record is from RNAcentral.
CGAACGAUGAUCCGGUGCUUGCACCGGGGAUUAGUGGCGAACGGGUGAGUAACACGUGAGUAACCUGCCCUUGACUCUGGGAUAAGCCUGGGAAACUGGGUCUAAUACCGGAUAUGACUCCUCAUCGCAUGGUGGGGGGUGGAAAGCUUUUGUGGUUUUGGAUGGACUCGCGGCCUAUCAGCUUGUUGGUGAGGUAAUGGCUCACCAAGGCGACGACGGGUAGCCGGCCUGAGAGGGUGACCGGCCACACUGGGACUGAGACACGGCCCAGACUCCUUCGGGAGGCAGCAGUGGGGAAUAUUGCACAAUGGGUGAAAGCCUGAUGCAGCGACGCCGCGUGAGGGAUUACGGCCUUCGGGUUGUAAACCUCUUUCAGUAGGGAAGAAGCGAAAGUGACGGUACCUGCAGAAGAAGCGCCGGCU